GGAAUAUUGGGCAAUGGGCGCAAGCCUGACCCAGCAACGCCGCGUGAAGGAAGAAGGUUUUCGGAUUGUAAACUUCUGUCCUAUGUGAAGAGGAAGAGACGGUAGCAUAGGAGGAAGCCCCGGCUAACUACGUGCCAGCAGCCGCGGUAAUACGUAGGGGGCGAGCGUUGUCCGGAAUGAUUGGGCGUAAAGGGCGCGUAGGCGGCCUGUUAAGUCUGGAGUGAAAGUCCUGUUUUCAAGAUGGGAAUUGCUUUGGAUACUGAUGGGCUUGAGUGCAGGAGUGGUUAUCGGAAUUCCCGGUGUAGCGGUGAAAUGCGUAGAGAUCGGGAGGAACACCAGUGGCGAAGGCGGGUAACUGGACUGCAACUGACGCUGAGGCGCGAAAGUGUGGGGAGCAAACA
Molecule: ribosomal RNA, 401 nt
Filed under: uncultured bacterium
Lineage: Bacteria
Description: bacterial SSU rRNA
Rfam family: Bacterial small subunit ribosomal RNA
Source: RNAcentral